Molecule: long non-coding RNA, 1393 nt
Organism: Teleopsis dalmanni
Lineage: Eukaryota; Metazoa; Arthropoda; Insecta; Diptera; Diopsidae
Exons: 5
Source: RefSeq, a predicted model, not a curated record
CUUCGAAAACGAUUUUUUGGUCUUAAAAGCUGAAAGCCUAUUUUCAAUAUAUAUCAAGAUAAAGGGUAUGAAAACCAGACAUGUGAUUUUCUUCGUUUUUCGAAAUCAACUUUAAAACGAAGCAUAUUUAGUGGACUUAAAAAUGUAGUUUUGAUAACGAUUUGUGGGUAUGGUAGCUACUAGCCAAAGCAAAUGAAACAUAUCAACUAUUAUCGCACAAACGGAAAAUACUUAGAAAGAUUUAUGGUCCAAUACGUCUAGAUGAUGACACAUGUCGAGAAAGAUGUCAACUACUAUUGCACGAACGGAAAAUACUGAGAAAGAUUUCUGGCCCAAUACGCCUAGUUAAUGGCACAUAUCAUAUUAGAGAACUACGAAUUAGAGAACUCAAUUGACAAGCAAAAUGUAAUACUACGAUACAUAAAAUCACAACCACUAACAUGACUUUAACACGUUUAGCGUAUGAACCGAGUACGAUCAGCAAAAUAAGCACUUGUAAGAAAUCUAAUUGGAUGCGGUAGAAGAAACAGACCUAGAAUUUCUAGUGGCUAGAUGAUGCUGAAGAAGGUUUAAUGAAGUCACGCGUAAGCGAUUGGAAAAACUUGAUAUCGGUUGGAGUCAGUUGGAAAAAAUUGACAGAGGAAACACUGGUCCACCAAGAACUGUUAUGCUAAGAAAGAAGAAUAAGAUGAUUGAUAUAGCCCACCAGAUAACAGUAGCUGACCUGUCGUUAUAAAUACAAAAAUAAUGCAAGUAGCAACGUUUUGGAUGUUAAUUCAAUCGUACAACUGCCGAAUCUUCGGAAUAGAGAGAGAAGUUAAAAUAGAAACUUCAAGUAACUUUGCUCUAAAGAAACAUAACAAAACAACUUAAAGUUGCUGAACGUUUUUACUUGUCACGUAGUUUUAUCCUGUAAUAUCUUGUGGAAGCUUACGAAAGUUAAUGUCCGAAGAGUUGUUUUUAAUUUUUGUCAACUACUACAAAUCAAGGAUUUCGGACAGGGAAAAUCAUAAAACUUUAUGAUAAAGCAUAUACAUCAAAUGCUGCUCUUACCGAACUAAAAACACAACUAGGUUCUUUUGAGGACUUAAGUUCAAUGGAUCGAAAGCGAAUGGCAAAACCUUACUAAGCACAACCAGGUAUAUGUAACACGUUUAAAGUGGCGUUAAUCCUAAUGCCCAGCGAAAAUGACAACCACUAACCGUAUGUGGUUUCCAUGUAAGAACUUACAACUCUUUUGUGUCAACCAUAUACGCUGCUAUAAAAAAUGAGUUGAUUGAGACUUGUGGAACUGUGAGUGCCAUUCAGCGGGAUGUUAUGAAACUAGUAACAUUAAAAAAGCUGUACUAAAGAUGUUUCAGAUCGCAGUGCAUGCACAGCCUAUUCAUAAUAA